Molecule: non-coding RNA, 650 nt
Organism: Meleagris gallopavo (turkey)
Lineage: Eukaryota; Metazoa; Chordata; Aves; Galliformes; Phasianidae
Source: RefSeq, a predicted model, not a curated record
UCCGCGCUGAUUGGUUGCACCGCCUCGAGAGGGGGAGGGGCGGAGCCUAAGCGUUCUGCGUGUGUACGGCGGGCGGGACGGACGGACGGACGGACGGAGUCGCUGGGAGGAACUGUUGUCCCCCUGGAGGCAGUAGGGAGGCGCUGGAAGUGUAUGUAAGAUGACCCUUCCCAGGAACGCAUGCUCUGUAUAUAGGUGUAUAUAUGUAUAUUUUGUCAUACACGCUGCAAGAAUAUCUUGCACGAGAUCAAACCAGAGAACAAGUGAUGGCAUGCCCGAGGAAGCGCCUGAAGGGACAUCAGAAGGCCUGGCAUCAUCUCCCCCUCCCCCCCGUUGCUCCUUGUUUAACGAAGACUUGGAAGCAAAUCACCAUAUCAAUACGACAGGAAGAGCGCUGAGACAUCUUUGAAACAACGGGAUGGCUGCUGACUGACACCAGAUAACAAACAAAUUAACAAGUAAUUAACCAAUGUAAAAACGUUCUGAUAAGAUUGUGACCCUGGAGUACCCAGCCAGUGGGAAAACAGGGCAGAGGGGGGAGGCAAGGGGAGGAAACAGGGUAUAAAGACUGCCAUGUUGUGUCCAUAGGUGCUUCUGCUUGUGGGAUGCCCGCCAUUGCAAUGGCGAAUAAAAACUGCUUUUAUCAGAGA